UUAAGCAUAUCAAUAAGCGGAGGAAAAGAAACCAACCGGGAUUGCCUCAGUAACGGCGAGUGAAGCGGCAAGAGCUCAAAUUUGAAAGCUGGCUCCUUCGGGGUCCGCAUUGUAAUUUGCAGAGGAUGCUUCGGGUGCGGCCCCUGUCUAAGUACCCUGGAACGGGUCGUCAGAGAGGGUGAGAAUCCCGUCUGGGAUAGGGUGUCCGCGCCCGUGUGAAGCUCCUUCGACGAGUCGAGUUGUUUGGGAAUGCAGCUCUAAAUGGGUGGUAAAUUUCAUCUAAAGCUAAAUACUGGCCGGAGACCGAUAGCGCACAAGUAGAGUGAUCGAAAGAUGAAAAGCACUUUGAAAAGAGAGUUAAAAAGCACGUGAAAUUGUUGAAAGGGAAGCGCUUGCGACCAGACUCGCCCCCGGGGUUCAGCCGGCAUUCGUGCCGGUGUACUUCCCCGGGGGCGGGCCAGCGUCGGUUUGGGCGGCCGGUCAAAGGCCCCUGGAAUGUAGUACCCUCCGGGGUACCUUAUAGCCAGGGGUGCAAUGCGGCCAGCCUGGACCGAGGAACGCGCUUCGGCACGGACGCUGGCAUAAUGGUCGCAAACGACCCGU
This 603-nucleotide ribosomal RNA is filed under the name Aspergillus nomiae. RNAcentral describes it as "partial large subunit ribosomal RNA". It matches the Rfam family "Eukaryotic large subunit ribosomal RNA", at positions 34 to 652 of the family's 3401-position model. The record is from RNAcentral. Lineage: Eukaryota; Fungi; Ascomycota; Eurotiomycetes; Eurotiales; Aspergillaceae.